Molecule: ribosomal RNA, 568 nt
Filed under: Bacillus sp. CSu5_29
Lineage: Bacteria; Bacillati; Bacillota; Bacilli; Caryophanales; Bacillaceae
Description: bacterial SSU rRNA
Rfam family: Bacterial small subunit ribosomal RNA
Source: RNAcentral
GCAAGUCGAGCGGACCGACGGGAGCUUGCUCCCUUAGGUCAGCGGCGGACGGGUGAGUAACACGUGGGUAACCUGCCUGUAAGACUGGGAUAACUCCGGGAAACCGGGGCUAAUACCGGAUGCUUGAUUGAACCGCAUGGUUCAAUCAUGAAAGGCGGCUUCGGCUGCCGUUUACAGAUGGACCCGCGGCGCAUUAGCUAGUUGGUGAGGUAACGGCUCACCAAGGCGACGAUGCGUAGCCGACCUGAGAGGGUGAUCGGCCACACUGGGACUGAGACACGGCCCAGACUCCUACGGGAGGCAGCAGUAGGGAAUCUUCCGCAAUGGACGAAAGUCUGACGGAGCAACGCCGCGUGAGUGAUGAAGGUUUUCGGAUCGUANAGCUCUGUUGUUAGGGAAGAACAAGUACCGUUCGAAUAGGGCGGUACCUUGACGGUACCUAACCAGAAAGCCACGGCUAACUACGUGCCAGCAGCCGCGGUAAUACGUAUGUGGCAAGCGUUGUCCGGAAUUAUUGGGCGUAGAGCGCGCGCAGGCGGUUUCUUAAGUCUGAUGUGAAAGCCCCCGG